CGCGGCGCGGUCCCGCAGGGGGCGCUGCGGCUCGGGGCGGCGGCGGCGGCGGGCGCGGGCGGCGGGCGCUGCUGGGCGGCUGCGCCCCGCCGCUAUAUAAACACGGCCCGCGCCCGCCCCUCCGUCCUGCCGGCGGGAGGAGGUGGCAGCACCAGCACCGGCGGCGGCGCGGAGGCAGAUUUCCAUCCUGGGACUGCCUUCUAGGGCGAACUAUCACCAAUGGAAGUAAAAUUUGUUUUUCUAGCAUUUGGGCUUCUCUUCAGAUGGAGAGCUAG
RNAcentral lists this long non-coding RNA (275 nucleotides) under Falco tinnunculus (common kestrel). Its description in RNAcentral is "lncRNA (ENSFTIG00000007308.1)". Lineage: Eukaryota; Metazoa; Chordata; Aves; Falconiformes; Falconidae. The record is from RNAcentral.